RNAcentral lists this ribosomal RNA (600 nucleotides) under uncultured archaeon. Its description in RNAcentral is "bacterial SSU rRNA". It matches the Rfam family "Archaeal small subunit ribosomal RNA", at positions 155 to 759 of the family's 1478-position model. The record is from RNAcentral.
CGUAGCCCACGCUUCCUGGAACGGUGUGUGGGUAAUAGCUCCGGCGGCCUAGGAUAGCUCUGCGGCCUAUCAGGUUGUAGCGAGGGUAACGUCCUCGCUAGCCUACGACGGGUAUGGGUGUUGGGAGACAUCGCCCAGAGAUGGAUUCUGAGACACGAAUCCAGGCCCUACGGGGCGCAGCAGGCGCGAAAACUGCACAAUGUGGGAAACCACGAUGCGGGAAGCCCAAGUGCCAGCGCUAUGCGUUGGCUGUCCUCAACCGUUCAUUGGUUGGGAAGAAAGUGCUGGGUAAGACGGGUGCCAGCCGCCGCGGUAAUACCCGCAGCACAAGUGGUGGUCAUUAUUAUUGGGCCUAAAGCGUCCGUAGCUUGCGUGUUAGAUGCCUGGGUAAAUCGAUGCGCUUAACGCAUCGAAUUCCGGGUAGACCGGCACGCUCGAGACCGGGAGAGGUGUAGGGUACUCGGGGGGUAGGGGUAAAAUCCUGUAAUCCUUCGGGGACGACCAGUGGCGAAGCGCUACACUAGAACGGCUCUGACAGUGAGGGACGAAGCCCUGGGGCGCAAACCGGAUUAGAUACCCCGGUAGUCCAGGGUGUAACGC